GUGUGUGGGGAGGGGCUGCAGGCCGGGGCAGAGAGCAGGAGUGGGGCGUGAGAGCGGGAGAAACGGGGAGGAGAGCGCGGGGACUGCCCCCCAGCCCCUCUGGGCGCUCUCUGCCAAAGCGCUGUCCCGAUGUUCGGGAGAGGUGUCAGCCCCCCCGAAAGACCCAGUUCCUGGAGGGCAGGAACCCCAGUGCUCGACGCAGAGUGACACAUAGAAAAUUGCUUUGAGUCUGGGAGGUGGACCGAGUGGAGAAGCAAGAUGAGCUAUAAUACUGGUGCGGUCUCCAGACAGCUGGGCAGGGAGCAGCAGUGCUGAUGCUGAGGGGCCUCCAGGGAUGGAGAGUGGCCUGGCUGGCGGCAGCACAGGAGAUGAGCUGGUGAUGAAGAUCAAGCAAGAGAAGCCAGAGUGGCUGCUGCGGACUCUGGCGCCGCUGGCCGCGCUUUCCCAGAAGGAUAAGGAGAACAUCUUCCAGCAGCAUCGGGGCCCCCUGCCAUGCCAGACCGCGGGGAAGCCACGAGCCCUGGGGGGACAGGAGGAGACUGGGGGUUCAAGGUGGGCCCCUUCCACUGAGCAGGACAGCGGUCUGGCUGGCCGGGCUCCGGGGGCGGCCUCUGGCCCCCUAAGCCCCACUCUUUCUGCGGCCGAGGGUCACUUCGUGUGCCUGGACUGUGGGAAGCGGUUCAGCUGGUGGUCGUCGCUGAAGAUCCACCAGCGCACACACACCGGCGAGAAGCCGUACCUGUGCGGCAAGUGCGGCAAGAGCUUCAGCCAGAAGCCCAACCUGGCGCGCCACCAGCGGCACCACACGGGCGAGCGGCCCUUCUGCUGCCCCGAGUGCGCCAGGAGCUUCAGCCAGAAGCAGCACCUGCUCAAGCACCAGAAGACCCACGCUCGGCCCGCCACCCACCCGUGUCCCGAGUGCGAGCGCUGCUUCCGCCACCAGGUGGGCCUCCGCAUCCACCAGCGCGCGCACGCCCGGGACCGCCAGGGCGCCCGCGCCGGGCUGCAGGAGCUGCUGCGGGACGUCGCGGCCCGCCGGGUCUGUCGCCCCCACCCGGGGCCUCAGCGGGGGCGCCCCGAGUGGGCCUGGCUGGGGCUCUGCCAGGGCUGGUGGCGCCGGUCCGCGGCCCGGACCGCCGCCACCGCCGCCGCGGGACCAGGCGAGCCGCGCCAGUUCAUCUGCAACGAGUGCGGCAAGAGCUUCACGUGGUGGUCGUCGCUGAACAUCCACCAGCGCAUCCACACGGGCGAGCGGCCCUACCCGUGCCCCGAGUGCGGCCGCCGCUUCAGCCAGAAGCCCAACCUGACGCGGCACCUGCGCAACCACACGGGCGAGCGCCCGCACCCGUGCCCGCACUGCGGCCGCAGCUUCCGCCAGAAGCAGCACCUGCUCAAGCACCAGCGCACGCACCUGCCCGGCGCCCCGGCCGCGCCCUGCCCCAGCUGCGGCCAGAGCUGCCCCAGCCGCGCGGCCCUGCGAGCCCACCAGCGCGCACACGUCGCCGCCGCCGCCCAGCUGCUGCGCCCCGAACCUCCCGCCCCGGGCGCCCCCGAUGUGGCGGCUCAGCCGCGCGGUCCCGCGCCCGCCCCUCGGGGGCCCGGGGACCUGCCAUGGGGCCGGGCGCGGGCGGGCGUUGGUGGGCCGGGCGAGCCGCGUCAGUUCAUCUGCAACGAGUGCGGCAAGAGCUUCUCGUGGUGGUCGGCGCUCACCAUCCACCAGCGCAUCCACACGGGCGAACGGCCCUACCCGUGCCCCGAGUGCGGCCGCCGCUUCAGCCAGAAGCCUAACCUGACGCGACACCGUCGCAACCACACGGGCGAGCGGCCCUACCUGUGUGCCUCCUGCGGCCGUGGCUUCAGCCAGAAGCAGCAUCUGCUUAAGCACCAGCGCGUUCACCGGGGGGCCUUGGUGCCCACCCCCAGCGCCAAGGAUGAGGCGCUCUAGUGCACCUGGAUCCAAGCCGACCCGCGGUGGGGGGCAUGCUUACGGGGUGCGUGUGGGGGUGGCCAGGAACGGUGGCUUUUAGAACCCCAAGGGGUGAGACCAUAUCAAAACAGUGGUUGUCUCAAGGCUCUGAGACCUGAGAACAGAAUUCCAGAAGCAUCCCAAAAGGGGGACGGGGAAAAGUCCCAGGAAGGGCUGAGAGAAGAGACAAGAUCAGACAUCCUCAUCCUGGAGCCUGGAUGUGUCCUUACUCACAGGUGGGACCCCGGCCCUUGGGCAGCGAGUGAGGGGGCCCUGGGAGAGGCUCUCUGGGUGAAAUGGUCCAGAUCUGGACUGGUCAGCUGUAGCACCCGCUCAGCGGCCAGGUAAUAGUUCCUGUGGGAUAGUCUCCACAGACGAGUGAUGCCAAGCUGGAAGCUGGACGCUGCAGCUGGGGAGGGGCACGCAUAUCUCCAAUGCAGAGGCCAGAGCCUGGCACCUAAUGGCCAUUCAACACCUGUAUUUGGAAGGAGUGAAUGGUUUGAUGAUCCUCAGCCCUUAGCGCCCUGUUGUCCAGGGGGCUGUUAUGGCCAGCCUGACCCAGGACUGGUGUGUGUGUGUGAUAGUCAGGGGCUGGGACAUGGGGCUGGUCUCAGCUGGGGUUCUGUAGCUUGCGGGGGGACCUGCAGCAGGAAGGCGCUGAAUGUGCUGCUCCGACUGGGUGGGCACUGACUGGGAUCCUCGUCAGCACCGGGCUGCAGAAGAGAGAAAUGAAGGACUGACUAUC
Long non-coding RNA from Camelus dromedarius (Arabian camel), 2711 nucleotides. RefSeq annotates it as zinc finger protein 775. The transcript has 4 exons. NCBI's taxonomy places the organism in Eukaryota, Metazoa, Chordata, Mammalia, Artiodactyla, Camelidae. The record is from RefSeq and is a predicted model, not a curated record.